Molecule: ribosomal RNA, 59 nt
Filed under: Pasteurella multocida
Lineage: Bacteria; Pseudomonadati; Pseudomonadota; Gammaproteobacteria; Pasteurellales; Pasteurellaceae
Description: partial 23S ribosomal RNA
Source: RNAcentral
GUUGUAUGGUUAAGUGACUAAGCGUACAGGGCGGAUGCCUUGGCAAUCAGAGGCGAUGA